RNAcentral lists this ribosomal RNA (484 nucleotides) under uncultured bacterium. RNAcentral's name for it is "partial 16S ribosomal RNA". It matches the Rfam family "Bacterial small subunit ribosomal RNA", at positions 30 to 507 of the family's 1533-position model. The record is from RNAcentral.
AUUGAACGCUGGCGGCAGGCCUAACACAUGCAAGUCGAGCGGAUGGAGGGAGCUUGCUCCUGGAUUCAGCGGCGGACGGGUGAGUAAUGCCUAGGAAUCUGCCUGGUAGUGGGGGAUAACGUCCGGAAACGGGCGCUAAUACCGCAUACGUCCUGAGGGAGAAAGUGGGGGAUCUUCGGACCUCACGUUAUCAGAUGAGCCUAGGUCGGAUUAGCUAGUUGGUGGGGUAAAGGCCUACCAAGGCGACGAUCCGUAACUGGUCUGAGAGGAUGAUCAGUCACACUGGAACUGAGACACGGUCCAGACUCCUACGGGAGGCAGCAGUGGGGAAUAUUGGACAAUGGGCGAAAGCCUGAUCCAGCCAUGCCGCGUGUGUGAAGAAGGUCUUCGGAUUGUAAAGCACUUUAAGUUGGGAGGAAGGGCAGUAAGUUAAUACCUUGCUGUUUUGACGUUACCAACAGAAUAAGCACCGGCUAACUUCGUG